GCUGGUGGCGCAGAGGUUAUGCAUUUGGUUGCUAACCAAAAGGUCAGCAGUUUGAAUCCACCAGCU
RNAcentral lists this transfer RNA (66 nucleotides) under Loxodonta africana (African savanna elephant). It matches the Rfam family "tRNA". Rfam says of the family: Transfer RNA (tRNA) molecules are approximately 80 nucleotides in length. Their secondary structure includes four short double-helical elements and three loops (D, anti-codon, and T loops). Lineage: Eukaryota; Metazoa; Chordata; Mammalia; Proboscidea; Elephantidae. The record is from Rfam by way of RNAcentral.